AACUACAUUUUCAAGUACUUGCAUUUGUAUGUGCUUGAAGUUGUCUUGAUUCAUCAUUAGUGAAGUAUGCUAAAUUUAUUUCAAACAAAUAGCAUAAUAUUUUGGUGACAAUCAGACAAUAAAUCAACACUGUAGUUCCACUAGGAUGCAGCAUGCAUUAUCUUUCUUCCACCUUUUGCAGUUGAUACUUAUUGUUUGGUCCUCUCUUUCGCAGUUCGAUGCCAUUCCUCCAGAGAUUGGCAUUUCACGGAAUUCAGGCAGUAAGAAAACUAAGGAAGAGGAAGGAGCAAGGAGAAAAGCUGGAGCAGUGAAAAUCAGUCCAUGGACAUUGGCGCGGCUUAAUGCAGAGGAAGUCUCAAAGGCAGCCGCGGAGGCAAGGAAGAAAUCCAAAAUCCUGAAACCAGUUGGAAAACAUGGCGCCCCAGAGAAUAGCAGCAAACCAGACCAUUUGCCUACCGACAAGAGACGACUAGACAGGAGAGGUUUCCCUGCUGAACUCUCUCUUGACCCACUUGCAACUCUAUCCGCAAGCGGCACCGAAAGCAACUACAGUGACGCAGCAACAGAAAUAUGUGGCAGUCUAGCCCCGUUACAGCUCGAAGCGAGAAGUGCUUUCCAACCGAGUACUGCAGCGUCCACAAGAAAUGUUGCUUCAUCGCCUGAAAGUAGCUUUGACUCACCAAAUCUCCACCCCUUCCGCACUUCCUCGGCCACAGCUGAUGAGAUGCAGGGAGCCAUGAUGCAUACAGCUCACAGGGGCAUCGAGUUUAAAAGAUCGUCUAGCGAUGGUUAUGAAGCAUCAAGAGGCGAAGAUAGCGACCGCAUCCCUUCAAGGAUCGUGCACAGGCCGUCAAACUGGGCCAGUGUCUUUCUGAAUUCUAGUCAGGGAGACCCUCCAGCUGAUCUGCUGUCGGCAUCAGCUGAAGGUUUUGUAGCUAACGGCUCUGGUUCCUAGAGCAGGCAUUGCUAGGUAUGGCUGAGCGAUGUUGACAAGACAUUGAUUAUUCUAUUAGACUAGCAUAUAGUCUAUACUAAGUACUAACGUUACGAUUUGG
Molecule: RNA transcript, 1055 nt
Organism: Zea mays
Lineage: Eukaryota; Viridiplantae; Streptophyta; Magnoliopsida; Poales; Poaceae
Gene name: protein S-acyltransferase pseudogene
Exons: 1
Source: RefSeq, marked validated